Molecule: ribosomal RNA, 494 nt
Filed under: uncultured bacterium
Lineage: Bacteria
Description: partial 16S ribosomal RNA
Rfam family: Bacterial small subunit ribosomal RNA
Source: RNAcentral
ACGAACGCUGGCGGCGUGCCUAAUACAUGCAAGUAGAACGCUGAAGGAGGAGCUUGCUUCUCUGGAUGAGUUGCGAACGGGUGAGUAACGCGUAGGUAACCUGCCUGGUAGCGGGGGAUAACUAUUGGAAACGAUAGCUAAUACCGCAUAAUAGCAGUUAUUGCAUGAUAACUGUUUGAAAGGUGCAAUUGCACCACUACCAGAUGGACCUGCGUUGUAUUAGCUAGUUGGUGGGGUAACGGCUCACCAAGGCGACGAUACAUAGCCGACCUGAGAGGGUGAUCGGCCACACUGGGACUGAGACACGGCCCAGACUCCUACGGGAGGCAGCAGUAGGGAAUCUUCGGCAAUGGACGGAAGUCUGACCGAGCAACGCCGCGUGAGUGAAGAAGGUUUUCGGAUCGUAAAGCUCUGUUGUAAGAGAAGAACGAGUGUGAGAGUGGAAAGUUCACACUGUGACGGUAGCUUAACAGAAAGGGACGGCUAACUACGCG